This 495-nucleotide ribosomal RNA is filed under the name uncultured bacterium. RNAcentral describes it as "partial 16S ribosomal RNA". It matches the Rfam family "Bacterial small subunit ribosomal RNA", at positions 28 to 507 of the family's 1533-position model. The record is from RNAcentral.
GACGAACGCUGGCGGCGUGCCUAAUACAUGCCAGUAGAACGCUGAAGGAGGAGCUUGCUCUUCUGGAUGAGUUGCGAACGGGUGAGUAACGCGUAGGUAACCUGCCUGGUAGCGGGGGAUAACUAUUGGAAACGAUAGCUAAUACCGCAUAAGAGUAGAUGUUGCAUGACAUUUGCUUAAAAGGUGCAAUUGCAUCACUACCAGAUGGACCUGCGUUGUAUUAGCUAGUUGGUGGGGUAACGGCUCACCAAGGCGACGAUACAUAGCCGACCUGAGAGGGUGAGCGGCCACGCUGGGACGGGGACACGGCCCAGACUACUACGGGAGGCAGCAGUAGGGGAUCCUCGGCAAUGGACGGAAGUCUGACCGAGCAACGCCGCGUGAGUGAAGAAGGUUUUCGGAUCGUAAAGCUCUGUUGUAAGAGAAGAACGAGUGUGAGAGUGGAAAGUUCACACUGUGACGGUAUCUGACCAGAAAGGGACGGCUAACUACGUG